CACCUGAUAAGGAAAGCGCUUUCUAUCACGAGGUUAUCCAACAUGUGGAUUGGUCACUUCUGCAGCAGCAGCCACCACAAACACUGGACCAACUUUGUUUAAGAGACUUGAGAUCUAGAAAGUGGAUCAAUUAUCCAACUGAAACUGAAGAGCUCGUUACCAUUGUAGCGGAAUCGGUUUUAAGAGAAUUAAUCAUUGAAAGUGUUGUUUACCUUGGUUUGUGAAGCUUUCCUUUACUAUUGCACAUCUUUAUCUGUGCAAAUUCUGAGUAAACUUGUGAUAUUCAAG
RNAcentral lists this unclassified non-coding RNA (288 nucleotides) under Hevea brasiliensis (rubber tree). The record is from RNAcentral. Lineage: Eukaryota; Viridiplantae; Streptophyta; Magnoliopsida; Malpighiales; Euphorbiaceae.